CGACGUUGUGGCGCAAUGGAAGCGCGUCGGAUUCCGGAUCCGAAGGUUGCGGGUUCGACCCCGUCAGCGUCGG
RNAcentral lists this transfer RNA (73 nucleotides) under Trypanosoma brucei equiperdum. RNAcentral describes it as "tRNA-Arg". It matches the Rfam family "tRNA". Rfam says of the family: Transfer RNA (tRNA) molecules are approximately 80 nucleotides in length. Lineage: Eukaryota; Euglenozoa; Kinetoplastea; Trypanosomatida; Trypanosomatidae. The record is from RNAcentral.